RNAcentral lists this ribosomal RNA (468 nucleotides) under uncultured bacterium. RNAcentral's name for it is "partial 16S ribosomal RNA". It matches the Rfam family "Bacterial small subunit ribosomal RNA", at positions 36 to 507 of the family's 1533-position model. The record is from RNAcentral.
UCCUCCCUCUGUCGGCGUGCUUAACACAUGCAAGUCGAACGGAAAGGCCCUGCUUUUGUGGGGUGCUCGAGUGGCGAACGGGUGAGUAACACGUGAGUAACCUGCCCUUGACUUUGGGAUAACUUCAGGAAACUGGGGCUAAUACCGGAUAGGAGCUCCUGCUGCAUGGUGGGGGUUGGAAAGUUUCGGCGGUUGGGGAUGGACUCGCGGCUUAUCAGCUUGUUGGUGGGGUAGUGGCUUACCAAGGCUUUGACGGGUAGCCGGCCUGAGAGGGUGACCGGCCACAUUGGGACUGAGAUACGGCCCAGACUCCUACGGGAGGCAGCAGUGGGGAAUAUUGCACGAUGGGCGGAAGCCUGAUGCAGCAACGCCGCGUGCGGGAUGACGGCCUUCGGGUUGUAAACCGCUUUCGCCUGUGACGAAGCGUGAGUGACGGUAAUGGGUAAAGAAGCACCGGCUAACUACGUG